RNAcentral lists this ribosomal RNA (281 nucleotides) under Bacillus cereus. RNAcentral's name for it is "partial 16S ribosomal RNA". It matches the Rfam family "Bacterial small subunit ribosomal RNA", at positions 1147 to 1427 of the family's 1533-position model. Lineage: Bacteria; Bacillati; Bacillota; Bacilli; Caryophanales; Bacillaceae. The record is from RNAcentral.
GACUGCCGGUGACAAACCGGAGGAAGGUGGGGAUGACGUCAAAUCAUCAUGCCCCUUAUGACCUGGGCUACACACGUGCUACAAUGGACGGUACAAAGAGCUGCAAGACCGCGAGGUGGAGCUAAUCUCAUAAAACCGUUCUCAGUUCGGAUUGUAGGCUGCAACUCGCCUACAUGAAGCUGGAAUCGCUAGUAAUCGCGGAUCAGCAUGCCGCGGUGAAUACGUUCCCGGGCCUUGUACACACCGCCCGUCACACCACGAGAGUUUGUAACACCCGAAGU